RNAcentral lists this RNase P RNA (342 nucleotides) under pig gut metagenome. RNAcentral's name for it is "Bacterial RNase P class B". It matches the Rfam family "Bacterial RNase P class B". Rfam says of the family: Ribonuclease P (RNase P) is a ubiquitous endoribonuclease, found in archaea, bacteria and eukarya as well as chloroplasts and mitochondria. The record is from RNAcentral.
UUUGACAAACGCUGUAUUCUUGUAAUAUAGAGGAAAGUCCAUGCUCGCACAAUCUGCGAUGAUUGUAGUGUUUGUGUGUAGGGAAAAAAUAACCUACAGGAGAAUUUCUCACGGCUCUUUAAAAGUCUAAGUACAUUGUAUAUGACUUGAUAAAGUAUAAAAGUGCCAAAGUGACGAUGCCUUUUAGAAAUAAAAGGAGUGGAACGUGGUAAACCCCGCAAGCGAGAAACCCAAAUUUUGGUAGGGGAGCUUGAGUUUGAAAGAAAUGAAUUUCACUCAGGAUCAAGAAAUUGAUAGAUAAAUGUUUGUCGCCUAUUAUUAGGAACAGAACAUGGCUUAUAA